This is a non-coding RNA of Paramormyrops kingsleyae, 309 nucleotides long. Lineage: Eukaryota; Metazoa; Chordata; Actinopteri; Osteoglossiformes; Mormyridae. The record is from RefSeq and is a predicted model, not a curated record.
GUCGCGGUUAGGAAAUUUCCCUUGCGGUUUUUAUGGGUGGCUCAAUAGCGCGGUAUGCGGUAUUACCGCCGUUUAAAAAUAAAUAAAUAAAUAAAAAUCUUGAUUUUACUGCAUACAAAGCUCUAUUGCUGAGUUAUGUAGCAUAUAUUGUUGCUUUUUAACUGACAGAGACACAAAACAUUUUUUGUUUAUUUUUUUAAUGCCAAACAGCAAUAAGAACAUGCCUUUUCCAAUUUAAAAAACGAAAUCAAAUCAUUCUAAAUUAGGCUAACAAUAAACAAACAAUAAGAAAUUAUUUUUUCCAAUUUG